UCUAGCCGAUUCUUCUGCAUU
Molecule: non-coding RNA, 21 nt
Filed under: Caenorhabditis elegans
Lineage: Eukaryota; Metazoa; Nematoda; Chromadorea; Rhabditida; Rhabditidae
Source: RNAcentral